GAUGAAGAACGCAGCGAAAUGCGAUAAGUAAUGUGAAUUGCAGAAUUCAGUGAAUCAUCGAAUCUUUGAACGCACCUUGCGCUCUUUGGUAUUCCGAAGAGCAUGCCUGUUUGAGUGUCAUGAAAAUAUCAACCUUGACUUGGGUUUUGUGCUCUAGUCUCGGCUUGGAAUUGGGUGCUUGCCGCUUUUACGAGCGGCUCACCUUAAAUGUAUUAGCUGGAUCUGUCUUUGAGACUUGGUUUGACUUGGCGUAAUAAGUAUUUCGCUAAGGACAUUCUUCGGAGUGGCCUCGUUUCUAGGACGCUUGUCCGCUUUCCAAUACAAGUUCCACCUCGUGGACAUGACUUUUUAUUAUCUGGCCUCAAAUCAGUUAGGACUACCCGCUGAACUUAAGCAUAUCAAUAAGCGGAGGA
This 413-nucleotide unclassified non-coding RNA is filed under the name soil metagenome. Its description in RNAcentral is "partial contains 5.8S ribosomal RNA, internal transcribed spacer 2, and large subunit ribosomal RNA". The stretch from base 1 to 120 matches the Rfam family "5.8S ribosomal RNA", at positions 35 to 154 of the family's 154-position model. The record is from RNAcentral.